ACCCGGUCCCAGAUUCCUUCGGGAGGCAGCAGUAGGGAAUUCUUCCACAAUGGCGGAAAGCCUGAUGGAGCAACGCCGCGGGGGGGAAGAAGGUUUUCGGAUCGUAAAAUUUUGUUGUAAGGGAAGAACAAGUACAGUAGUAACUGGCUGUACCUGGACGGUACCUUAUUAGAAAGCCAUGGCUAAUUACGUGCCAGCAGCCGCGGUAAUACGUAGGUGGCAAGCGUUGUCCGGAAUUAUUGGGCGUAAAGCGCGCGCAGGCGGUUUUUUAAGUCUGAUGUGAAAGCCCCCGGCUCAACCGGGGAGGGUCAUUGGAAACUGGGGAACUUGAGUGCAGAAGAGGAAAGUGGAAUUCCAAGUGUAGCGGUGAAAUGCGUAGAGAUUUGGAGGAACACCAGUGGCGAAGGCGACUUUCUGGUCUGUAACUGACGCUGAGGCGCGAAAGCGUGGGGAGCAAACAGGAUUAGAUACCCUGGUAGUCCACGCCGUAAACGAUGAGUGCUAAGUGUUAGGGGGUUUCCGCCCCUUAGUGCUGCAGCUAACGCAUUAAGCACUCCGCCUGGGGAGUACGGUCGCAAGACUGAAACUCAAAGGAAUUGACGGGGGCCCGCACAAGCGG
This 619-nucleotide ribosomal RNA is filed under the name Lysinibacillus macroides. RNAcentral describes it as "bacterial SSU rRNA". It matches the Rfam family "Bacterial small subunit ribosomal RNA", at positions 324 to 932 of the family's 1533-position model. The record is from RNAcentral. Lineage: Bacteria; Bacillati; Bacillota; Bacilli; Caryophanales; Bacillaceae.